GACAGAUGGGAGCUUGCUCCCUGAUGUUAGCGGCGGACGGGUGAGUAACACGUGGGUAACCUGCCUGUAAGACUGGGAUAACUCCGGGAAACCGGGGCUAAUACCGGAUGGUUGUUUGAACCGCAUGGUUCAAACAUAAAAGGUGGCUUUGGCUACCACUUACAGAUGGACCCGCGGCGCAUUAGCUAGUUGGUGAGGUAACGGCUCACCAAGGCAACGAUGCGUAGCCGACCUGAGAGGGUGAUCGGCCACACUGGGACUGAGACACGGCCCAGACUCCUACGGGAGGCAGCAGUAGGGAAUCUUCCGCAAUGGACGAAAGUCUGACGGAGCAACGCCGCGUGAGUGAUGAAGGUUUUCGGAUCGUAAAGCUCUGUUGUUAGGGAAGAACAAGUACCGUUCGAAUAGGGCGGUACCUUGACGGUACCUAACCAGAAAGCCACGGCUAACUACGUGCCAGCAGCCGCGGUAAUACGUAGGUGGCAAGCGUUGUCCGGAAUUAUUGGGCGUAAAGGGCUCGCAGGCGGUUUCUUAAGUCUGAUGUGAAAGCCCCCGGCUCAACCGGGGAGGGUCAUUGGAAACUGGGGAACUUGAGUGCAGAAGAGGAGAGUGGAAUUCCACGUGUAGCGGUGAAAUGCGUAGAGAUGUGGAGGAACACCAGUGGCGAAGGCGACUCUCUGGUCUGUAACUGACGCUGAGGAGCGAAAGCGUGGGGAGCGAACAGGAUUAGAUACCCUGGUAGUCCACGCCGUAAACGAUGAGUGCUAAGUGUUAGGGGGUUUCCGCCCCUUAGUGCUGCAGCUAACGCAUUAAGCA
This 816-nucleotide ribosomal RNA is filed under the name Bacillus subtilis. Its description in RNAcentral is "bacterial SSU rRNA". It matches the Rfam family "Bacterial small subunit ribosomal RNA", at positions 68 to 866 of the family's 1533-position model. The record is from RNAcentral. Lineage: Bacteria; Bacillati; Bacillota; Bacilli; Caryophanales; Bacillaceae.